Molecule: ribosomal RNA, 1118 nt
Filed under: uncultured fungus
Lineage: Eukaryota; Fungi
Description: eukaryotic LSU rRNA
Rfam family: Eukaryotic large subunit ribosomal RNA (bases 489-1118)
Source: RNAcentral
AAGUCGUAACAAGGUUUCCGUAGGUGAACCUGCGGAAGGAUCAUUACCGUGGGGCUUCGGCACCAUUGAGAUAGCACCCUUUGUUCAUGAGUACCCUUGUUUCCUCGGUGGGUUCGCCCGCCGGUGGACAUUUAAAACCUUUGUAGUAGCAGUAUCUUCAGUAACAAACAAAUAUUAAAACUUUCAACAACGGAUCUCUUGGUUCUGGCAUCGAUGAAGAACGCAGCGAAAUGCGAUAAGUAGUGUGAAUUGCAGAAUUCAGUGAAUCAUCGAAUCUUUGAACGCACAUUGCGCCCUUCGGUAUUCCGUUGGGCAUGCCUGUUCGAGCGUCAUUUAAACCUUCAAGCUAUGCUUGGUGUUGGGUGUUUGCUCCGCCUCCGCGCGUGGACUCGCCUUAAAUUCAUUGCAGCCGGUAAGUUGGCUUCGUGCGCAGCACAUUGCGUCGCGAUUCUGGCGGACCCCCUUCCAUUAAGCUUCUUUUUUUACUUUGACCUCGGAUCAGGUAGGGAUACCCGCUGAACUUAAGCAUAUCAAUAAGCGGAGGAAAAGAAACCAACAGGGAUUGCCCCAGUAACGGCGAGUGAAGCGGCAAUAGCUCAAAUUUGAAAUCUGGCCCUUUCAGGGUCCGAGUUGUAAUUUGCAGAGGGCGCUUUGGAGUUGGCUGCAGCCUAAGUUCCUUGGAACAGGUCAUCAUAGAGGGUGAGAAUCCCGUAUGUGGUUGCAUGUCUUCGCCGUGUAAAGCCCCUUCGACGAGUCGAGUUGUUUGGAAUGCAGCUCUAAAUGGGAGGUAAAUUUCUUCUAAAGCUAAUAUUGGCCAGAGACCGAUAGCGCACAAGUAGAGUGAUCGAAAGAUGAAAAGCACUUUGGAAAGAGAGUCAAAAAGCACGUGAAAUUGUUGAAAGGGAAGCGCUUGCAGCCAGACGUGCCCGCAGUUGCUCAUCCGGGGUUCUCCCCGGUGCACUCUUCUGUGGGCAGGCCAGCAUCAGUUCAGGCGGUUGGAGAAAGACCUGUGUCAUGUAGCUGUUCUCGGGCAGUGUUAUAGGGCAGGUGGAAUGCAACCAGCUUGAACUGAGGUCCGCGCAUCUGCUAGGAUGCUGGCGUAAUGGCUGUAAGCGGCC